UUAUUUUUUAGGAUGAUAAGCCUCAUUUUGUGGCUAGAAAAGUCGGGAACGAGAAGCAGCUGACACAACCUUUUAUUGAGGCUCUGGAGGAAAGAAUAAAACAAGAAAUGGAAAAGCUUAAAGAUGAACAGACCUGAUUGCUUCAUAAAUUUCAACCCAGAAAUUUUUACUAGAAGUGAAGGCAUCCAAUUUAUGCUGUGCUUUACCUUGAUUUAGCCAGUGUUUUGUGUUGCUUGUCGUAAAGUUAUUUUGGCCUGGUGCCAGAUGGACUAGGGACCAUUGUUACUUCUUCCAUGUUGUAUCAUCACUAUGAAUAGAACCAAGCACAUUAGACAUCUUCAUGAUAUUUAAGCACAUCUUAUUAUCUGCAUAACAAACUGGAGAAAUAAUGCUUUGUAUUAUCUUAGUGAUAUACUUACUGUUUCAUUGGAAAAGAAUGUUUGGAUUGGUACAAGUUUCAGUGUUGUUUGAAUUCAGUGUAAUGUUAGUAAAUAGACAUCAAAAGGGAAAUGGUAGAAAAUUAAAAAAUACAACCCACC
Molecule: long non-coding RNA, 539 nt
Filed under: Mytilus galloprovincialis (Mediterranean mussel)
Lineage: Eukaryota; Metazoa; Mollusca; Bivalvia; Mytilida; Mytilidae
Source: RNAcentral